UGUCAGUCUGGCAGAUAACGGCGCAGUGCUUGCGGUGGGGAGUGAGUGACCAGCGUGCGCAGGGUAGCGGGCCUCCAAGUUCUAGGCCAAGUCUCUGAGAGCGAAACCGUCUGUGACCUGAGCCGACUUCCCCUCUGCUGCCGCUGUUCUGAGCGGCCUCUUCACGCUGUCGAGUAAAAGUACAAUUCUGUCUUAGUGAAGACAUUCUGAAUGUUACGGGACCGAGCCCCGCGGCCUGGCAGCCUGGUCAGUGCCCAGCGGGAACCACCUUCCCGCACCCUCUCGUCCCGAGGCCCCUUUAACCCGAAAGCUGCUCUCUUCGUACCCCAGGGACGGGCUUCGGGCGUGCAGAUGCGCCAAGGGCCUGGCCAGCUUGAGUCAGGCCCUCUGGCGCUUUCCUGUAGGAUCUAGAAAUGUCCCCGAAUUCUAGGGUAGGCAUCAACCAGACCAGCUUGGUUAUGUUUUUGUUGGUUCCUAUCCUGUCCACUCCCCGCCGUGGAUCCCAACGCAAAUGCUAAUCCAGCCCCAAAGUUAUAAUUUACACAGAAGCACACUCUUUCACAACCUGAACACACUCCUGUAACCAGCACAUAGAUCAGGAAACAGAACAGUACCUGCACCUCAGAAUACCCCCUCAUGCUUGGGCCUGGUCCACUCCGCCUGACCUACCUAGGAUGGCCACGACCACGUCGUCGCGCAGGAUCUCGAUGGAGCCUCGGGAGAUGAAG
Molecule: long non-coding RNA, 728 nt
Organism: Cebus imitator (Panamanian white-faced capuchin)
Lineage: Eukaryota; Metazoa; Chordata; Mammalia; Primates; Cebidae
Exons: 3
Source: RefSeq, a predicted model, not a curated record